This 266-nucleotide ribosomal RNA is filed under the name uncultured prokaryote. Its description in RNAcentral is "partial 16S ribosomal RNA". It matches the Rfam family "Bacterial small subunit ribosomal RNA", at positions 524 to 789 of the family's 1533-position model. The record is from RNAcentral.
UACGUAGGUGGCGAGCGUUGUCCGGAUUUACUGGGCGUAAAGGGAGCGUAGGCGGACUUUUAAGUGAGAUGUGAAAUACCCGGGCUCAACUUGGGUGCUGCAUGUCAAACUGGAAGUCUAGAGUGCAGGAGAGGAGAAUGGAAUUCCUAGUGUAGCGGUGAAAUGCGUAGAGAUUAGGAAGAACACCAGUGGCGAAGGCGAUUCUCUGGACUGUAACUGACGCUGAGGCUCGAAAGCGUGGGGAGCAAACAGGAUUAGAUACCCGU